Molecule: ribosomal RNA, 836 nt
Filed under: Querciphoma carteri
Lineage: Eukaryota; Fungi; Ascomycota; Dothideomycetes; Pleosporales; Leptosphaeriaceae
Description: eukaryotic LSU rRNA
Rfam family: Eukaryotic large subunit ribosomal RNA
Source: RNAcentral
GGGAUUGCCCUAGUAACGGCGAGUGAAGCGGCAACAGCUCAAAUUUGAAAUCUGGCUCUUUCAGAGUCCGAGUUGUAAUUUGCAGAGGGCGCUUUGGCGUUGGCAGCGGUCCAAGUUCCUUGGAACAGGACGUCACAGAGGGUGAGAAUCCCGUACGUGGUCGCUAACCUUCGCCGUGUAAAGCCCCUUCGACGAGUCGAGUUGUUUGGGAAUGCAGCUCUAAAUGGGAGGUAAAUUUCUUCUAAAGCUAAAUACUGGCCAGAGACCGAUAGCGCACAAGUAGAGUGAUCGAAAGAUGAAAAGCACUUUGGAAAGAGAGUCAAAUAGCACGUGAAAUUGUUGAAAGGGAAGCGCUUGCAGCCAGACUUGCCUGUAGUUGCUCAUCCGGGCUUUUGCCCGGUGCACUCUUCUAUAGGCAGGCCAGCAUCAGUUUGGGCGGUUGGAUAAAGGUCUCUGUCAUGUACCUCCUUUCGGGGAGGCCUUAUAGGGGAGACGACAUGCAACCAGCCUGGACUGAGGUCCGCGCAUUUGCUAGGAUGCUGGCGUAAUGGCUGUAAGCGGCCCGUCUUGAAACACGGACCAAGGAGUCUAACAUCUAUGCGAGUGUUUGGGUGUCAAGCCCGAGCGCGCAAUGAAAGUGAACGGAGGUGGGAACCCUUAAGGGUGCACCAUCGACCGAUCCUGAUGUCUUCGGAUGGAUUUGAGUAAGAGCAUGGCUGUUGGGACCCGAAAGAUGGUGAACUAUGCUUGAAUAGGGUGAAGCCAGAGGAAACUCUGGUGGAGGCUCGCAGCGGUUCUGACGUGCAAAUCGAUCGUCAAAUUUGGGCAUAGGGGCG